This 503-nucleotide small RNA is filed under the name uncultured Glomus. RNAcentral describes it as "SSU rRNA". It matches the Rfam family "Eukaryotic small subunit ribosomal RNA", at positions 569 to 1076 of the family's 1831-position model. The record is from RNAcentral. Lineage: Eukaryota; Fungi; Glomeromycota; Glomeromycetes; Glomerales; Glomeraceae.
AGCAGCCGCGGUAAUUCCAGCUCCAAUAGCGUAUAUUAAAGUUGUUGCAGUUAAAAAGCUCGUAGUUGAAUUUCGGGGUUAGUAGGUCGGUCGUGCCACUGGUAUGUACUGGUCUCACUGAUUCCUCCUUCCUGAUGAACCGUAAUGCCAUUAAUUUGGUGUUGCGGGGAGACUGGACUGUUACUUUGAAAAAAUUAGAGUGUUUAAAGCAGGCUCGCGCUUGAAUACAUUAGCAUGGAAUAAUGAAAUAGGACGUUUGAUUCUAUUUUGUUGGUUUCUAGGAUCGACGUAAUGAUUAAUAGGGAUAGUUGGGGGCAUUAGUAUUCAAUUGUCAGAGGUGAAAUUCUUGGAUUUAUUGAAGACUAACUACUGCGAAAGCAUUUGCCAAGGAUGUUUUCAUUAAUCAAGAACGAAAGUUAGGGGAUCGAAGACGAUCAGAUACCGUCGUAGUCUUAACCAUAAACUAUGCCGACUAGGGAUCGGAUGAUGUUAAUUUUUUAAUG